Molecule: long non-coding RNA, 377 nt
Organism: Condylura cristata (star-nosed mole)
Lineage: Eukaryota; Metazoa; Chordata; Mammalia; Eulipotyphla; Talpidae
Exons: 5
Source: RefSeq, a predicted model, not a curated record
CACACCGAACGUCUGAGACGAGGACCGGGAGCUCUCAAUGAAACGGUGAUGCUAUUUAUAAGGCGUCGGGAGAUCGCAAUGUCCUGCUGAUCCGAUACAGCAAUGCAACUCUGAAAUUCUGGAUGAUGCUGUUUCUGCUCUGCCUGGUAAUUGAAGGCUACAUGCUCAAGUACCAUCUUUUAAAGGAUAUUGAUAGUAUGGUCCUGCGGUGCUGCAGUCGUAUACUCUGCCGAUAUUCAGUCUCAGUGAGAUGGAGGUAUUCUCUUGGGAGCAGCUGCAAAAAUCACAGUCCUAGUAUGAAGAUGUGAGAGUGUAGUGACCAUAUAUUAAGUUUUUUUUUCCUAUAUGAAAAACAAAUGACUUCGGCCCUCCCUGGU